RNAcentral lists this ribosomal RNA (468 nucleotides) under uncultured bacterium. RNAcentral's name for it is "partial 16S ribosomal RNA". It matches the Rfam family "Bacterial small subunit ribosomal RNA", at positions 28 to 507 of the family's 1533-position model. The record is from RNAcentral.
GACGAACGCUGGCGGCGUGCUUAACACAUGCAAGUCGAACGGAAAGGCCCUGCUUUUGCGGCGUGCUCGUGUGGCGAACGGGUGAGUAACACGUGAGUAACCUGCCCUUGACUUUGGGAUAACUUCAGGAGACUGGGGCUAAUACCGGGUAGGAGCUCCUGCUGCAUGGUGGGGGUUGGAAAGUUUCGGCGGUGGGGGAUGGACUCGCAGCUUAUCCGCUUGUUGGUGGGGUAGUGGCUUACCAAGUCUUUGACGGGUAGCCGGCCUGAGAGGGUGACCGGCCACAUUGGGACUGAGAUACGGACCAGACGCCUACGGGAGGCAGCAGUGGGGAAUAUUGCAGAAUGGGCGGAAGCGUGAUGCAGCAACGCCGCGUGCGGGAUGACGGCCUUCGGGUUGUAAACCGCUUUCGCCUGUGACGAAGCGUGAGUGACGGUAAUGGGUAAAGAAGCACCGGCUAACUACGUG